This 67-nucleotide small nuclear RNA is filed under the name Sus scrofa (pig). Its description in RNAcentral is "U4 spliceosomal RNA". It matches the Rfam family "U4 spliceosomal RNA", at positions 1 to 67 of the family's 138-position model. Rfam says of the family: U4 small nuclear RNA (U4 snRNA) is a component of the major U2-dependent spliceosome. The structure of U4 snRNA from yeast and human has been reported. Lineage: Eukaryota; Metazoa; Chordata; Mammalia; Artiodactyla; Suidae. The record is from Rfam by way of RNAcentral.
AGCUUUGCGCAGUGGCAGUAUCGUAGCCCAUGAAGUUUAUCUGAGGUGCGAUUAUUGCUAAUUGAAG